CCCUGGAACGGGACGCCACAGAGGGUGAGAGCCCCGUCUGGCUGGCCACCGAGCCUCUGUAAAGCUCCUUCGACGAGUCGAGUAGUUUGGGAAUGCUGCUCAAAAUGGGAGGUAUAUGUCUUCUAAAGCUAAAUAUUGGCCAGAGACCGAUAGCGCACAAGUAGAGUGAUCGAAAGAUGAAAAGCACCUUGAAAAGAGGGUUAAACAGUACGUGAAAUUGUUGAAAGGGAAGCGCUUGUGACCAGACUUGGGCGCGGCGAAUCAUCCGGGGUUCUUUCNNNUGNACUUCGCCGUGUUCAGGCCAGCAUCAGUUCGGCGCGGGGGAAAAAGGCUUCGGGAACGUGGCUGCUCCGGCAGUGUUAUAGCCCGUUGCAUAAUACCCUGCGCUGGACUGAGGACCGCGCAUCUGCAAGGAUGCUGGCGUAAUGGUCACCAGCGACCCGUCU
This 446-nucleotide ribosomal RNA is filed under the name soil fungal sp. DM2-383. RNAcentral's name for it is "eukaryotic LSU rRNA". It matches the Rfam family "Eukaryotic large subunit ribosomal RNA", at positions 188 to 654 of the family's 3401-position model. Lineage: Eukaryota; Fungi. The record is from RNAcentral.